Molecule: ribosomal RNA, 497 nt
Filed under: uncultured bacterium
Lineage: Bacteria
Description: partial 16S ribosomal RNA
Rfam family: Bacterial small subunit ribosomal RNA
Source: RNAcentral
GAUGAACGCUGGCGGCGUGCCUAAUACAUGCAAGUCGAGCGAACGGACGAGAAGCUUGCUUCUCUGUUGUUAGCGGCGGACGGGUGAGUAACACGUGGAUAACCUACCUAUAAGACUGGGAUAACUUCGGGAAACCGGAGCUAAUACCGGAUAAUAUUUUGAACCGCAUGGUUCAAAAGUGAAAGACGGUCUUGCUGUCACUUAUAGAUGGAUCCGCGCUGCAUUAGCUAGUUGGUAAGGUAACGGCUUACCAAGGCAACGAUGCAUAGCCGACCUGAGAGGGUGAUCGGCCACACUGGAACUGAGACGCGGUCCAGACUCCUACGAGAGGCAGCAGUAGGGAAUCUUCCGCAGUGGGCGAAAGCCUGACGGAGCAACGCCGCGUGAGUGAUGAAGGUCUUCGGAUCGUAAAACUCUGUUAUUAGGGAAGAACAUAUGUGUAAGUAACUGUGCACAUCUUGACGGUACCUAAUCAGAAAGCCACGGCUAACUACGUG